This is a long non-coding RNA of Salvelinus fontinalis (brook trout), 966 nucleotides long. RefSeq lists it as uncharacterized. The transcript has 3 exons. Lineage: Eukaryota; Metazoa; Chordata; Actinopteri; Salmoniformes; Salmonidae. The record is from RefSeq and is a predicted model, not a curated record.
UUCAGUAAGUUCAAUGUAGGGUGGACCACAUGCACAGCCCCUUAGUUGUCAAUAGAUAUAAGGUCAUUUUCUUCAGCGUCACUAGUGAUCUGUCACAACAUCACACGUGAGUCUCCACAUCCUCCUCUGUAGGUUUUUCUGUGUCCUACCAAACACACAUCAGUUCUCACAUCACAAUCUAUGUGUGGAGUUCACUUCACUGACGGAAAGAAGUGGAAAAUAUGUCUUUGUCUUAUAUUCUUCUCAUUUAUGUUGCCGGUGUUGCGGUAAAAGGAAGUUGUGCAGAUUCAGUUCCCACUCCCACUAUUGUAUUUUCCCCUGGGUACAUCAAUGUAGCUACACCUGUUACAGUACGCUGUGAGUUACCAGAAGGCACAGAGUGCAAUUUCUACAGAGAUCAGGACCCCAAACCUAUAAGAAAAGUGGAUUACAAGCAAGGUGCUUGCCAGUUCAAGUUGUUAUGGAAUGAGUUCAAAAAGUGGAACAAGACUGAAGUAGAUCUCAGCUGUGUAAUUCUACAGAACAGACAAGGUGAAACGAUCAAAACCUCUAAACCCAGUGACGCUCGAAGACUUAAUGUGGGUGGUAAGUGACAGUAUUAAAGUACUCCAAACCACAUGUUUACCAGAGUACACUUCCCACUUGUUAAAUGACUUCAUAAAUUACUUUCACAAUUUACUGACAGAUCCAAUUGGAAAGCCCAGAGUUAAUGUGGGGAAUAAUGGGAAUUACCUCAAUCUUCGAUGUGAGGCCAAGGCUGGCACCUCAUGCUACUUUUAUCUGAACAAUGGUGAUUCACACUUUAAAAAACUACCCUACAAAGACAAUGUCUGUGUGGGGAGAGUGGCAGAAGAGGAACUGCAGAGGAAGAGGAGCAGUGCUGGAGAGAUCUUCAUCACCUGUGCUGUGGAGCUGGUUGUAGAGGGUGAAGAUACUGUGACAUCACAGCAUAGUGAACCCCUCGGU